AUAGGUGAGGACUGUAUAGAAGACCAGCUUCUGAGUCUGCACUGCAAUGAGGUUGUCAGAAAGAAAAGGAGUACAGAAAACAUUCUGCUAUUUCUCAGACACUUUUAUUUUUUAUGGCAAUAGAAUGUAGUUUAAAAAUGCUUUCUUUGUGAUGGAUAGCCAUACCUUGACAUCACUCUGUUAUGUUUUUGCAGAUGCAUAGAAUAUCAGAUGUUUGUGAGCCUCUGGGUAGUUCAAAUGAGAGCAUAGUGGAUGAAACUGAUGAGGAUUCCAUGAAAAACUAUUCUGGUGGGCAUUCUGAGCACAACGUUGUUCCAAAGUUGAGAAGGACAAAGAGCUUAUUGGUACGGUUCUGACAGUCUGAAUACAAGUAAUUAUUAUAGUCUAUUUUCAACAAAAUCUUUUUCUUGUAACUGAUUUUUUAAAUGGAUAGUCAUACUUUUUUCUUCCUUUUUCUGAUGGAUAGAAUACCAGAUUUUUCUGAUGCUCUGUUUGAUUCAAAUAAGGACAGCACAGAAGGCCCUUCCUUUAAGUCUGAAAGGGCUUCACGAAGGCUGCAACCCGUAAACAUCUCGUUUUUACUCACUUGUGUUGUCACUUAAAGGGUCAGGGUAAGACUUUAAUACAGAUACGACUCUGGACAUAUAUGUCUGUAAAGUUCAACUUGACUGGUUUGUGGAGGCACAAAGCAUGUGGCAGUUAUCCUUUACAUUACAAGUGACACAUCAAGAUAGGUUUUAAUGUUUCUGUGCCAGCGCAGUAGGCAGUUAACCGUGUAGUAAGAUGGUCAUAUUGAACAGUCAUUUGGAGGUUGAAGUAUUAACUUCAAGACAGCAUCAUUUCAAAUCAUUUCCCCUCAUUCAAAGCCAGACUUUGCUUUACUGACAAUUACUUCAUGUUUUAAGUCAAAAAAUUAUAUAUAUAAAAAUAAUGUUUUUCUGUACCCAGAAGCCAGUGUGUACAAGGAGAGGAUUCAGAAGAUGAGGGCAGUGUGGCACCCCUAUUGGAAUGUACCUCAUCAUCUGCCCAAAACCAAGUGGUGUCAGCAAAAAUGAGAGAAGCCAGUGUGGCACAAGGCGAGGACUCAGAAGAUGAGGACAGUGCGGCAUCCCUGCAAGAAUGUACCUCAUCAUCUGCCCAAAACCAGAUGGUGUGAACAACAAAGAGAGGUAAACAAUCUGCUGUCAAAAGACGUUGGACGCCAGAGGAAUCUGCUGCAGUUUACAGACAUUUAAGGAAAUUCAUAGUGAGAAGCCAAGUUCCCGAAAAAGUGGACUGUGAGCACUGUAUUACUGCAGAACCUCAAGCACUAGGAAACAGAGACUGGAAAGCAGUAAAAUACUUCAAGAAUCUUCUGCCAUCAGAAGAGAACUACAGUGAAUUGCUACUAGAUGUGAGCAGUGUGUGGAUUCUGCUUUAUUCAAACUGUACCUGCCAGCUGUAGCACCACUGGAAAGGGUGGACCCCACAAUUGGGCAAAGAGACAGCAGGCCCCUCAAGUGAGUUACGCGAGUAUGUGUGUGUGUGUGUGUGUGUGUGUGUGUGUGUGUGUGUGUGUGUGUGUGUGUGUGUGUGUGUGUGUGUGUGUGUGUUGCUCCGUGCCGAUGUGUGCGUCGAGCGAGAGAGAGCUGGGAACGGCAGAUAAUUCUGGAGCUAAGUUAGAGGGUUUUUGUAGUUAUUUUGGCGUUGGCUACUACCCACAGUAGCCUGUGUGAAGGUUCAAUAAAUGACCAGAGAACCAGAUGAAGUAUCACUCAUUCAUCACAUUAUUAUUCUGAAAGUCCGUUGCUCACUGAUUCUGAAUACACAGACAGACAAACCAUGGGUGACAGGAGGGCUGGAUGAUGAUCAGUAACUACUUGGGAUGGGCGUCAUCACGUGUCACCCAAACGAACAGUGGAGGGAGGCAUCAGCAGACUGGUUGGAUGCAACGUGUUGGAGAAAUAGAAAUAAACUAAAACAAGACAAACAAACAAAUGCCGCAGUGAAGUAGUUAGCUAUACACUGCAUUCUGAUUAGUAUUGUGGAAGAUGUCCGUCUGAGGAACGUUCUUAGGAUCACAACAAAUGACGGCACAUAUAAACCUCAACCUGCAUCACUGGAAGUUUUAUUGUGUGUGAGAUACAAAUCGGGAUUACAGUCCCCGCCGCAGCGGUCAUAGGUUCGAGUCCGACCCACAGCCAUUUGGUCUUCUCUCCAUGUUCCCUGUCACUCCUCACACACGCUCAUCCAGAUGUGCCUUUUUUUCUCUCUCUUCCUGGAAGAGUUGCUCUGUUGUGUUUAGUAGGGAAAGCAGCAGUUUAGCAGUUAUCUCCAUGUAUUUUAGUGCUUUCUUCGUCUCAUGAUAGAGAUUGGGGGUGUGGUUUUCCACUAGUGUGGGAGAGAUAUUCUUACUUUUUUAUUUUAUUUUUUUAUUUAUUUUUUGUGUGUUUUUUCUCCUUUUUGAUGUCGGGGACACAAACUGCUUAUUUUACUUACUAAAUAAAGAGGACCAAUGCACUCCUGGGCAAACAUGUUUCAUUAGCUGGAAUAUCAAAGGCAUACACAAUUCUAUUAAGUGCAGUAGAGUUUUUAUGCAUUUAAAAACUUUGGGGCCUGACAAUAUUUUUACAAGAGACCCAUCUCCGAACUAACGAACAUUCAAAUUUAAAGAAAGGCUCGACUGACCAAAUACACCACUCCAACUAUGGUGACAGAUCCAGAGGCACAGCCAACCUAAUAAGAAAAGGGGUUCCAUUUGUAUCACUUUCACUUUCUGAUACCAAAGGCAGAUAUGUUAUGGUUAUUGGGAAAUUGUUUGGAUUUGAUGUACCUCUAGUUAAUAUCUAUGGCCCAAAUUGGCAUGACUCACAGUUUUUCUCCAACAUUUUUCAAAAUCUCCCCGAUCCCAACAUCUAUCAAUUAUAGGAGGCGAUUUUAACUUGGUGUUAGAACCUAAUAUGGACAGAUCCAAUCUUAAAACCCCUAACAAGAUUUCCAAAUCCGUAUUUUUU
This is a long non-coding RNA of Amphiprion ocellaris (clown anemonefish), 2993 nucleotides long. RefSeq lists it as uncharacterized. NCBI's taxonomy places the organism in Eukaryota, Metazoa, Chordata, Actinopteri, Pomacentridae. The record is from RefSeq and is a predicted model, not a curated record. The transcript is spliced from 4 exons.